GCGCGCCCUUCGGGGUGAGCGGCGGACGGGUUAGUAACGCGUGGGAACGUGCCCAGAUCUAAGGAAUAGCCACUGGAAACGGUGAGUAAUACCUUAUACGCCCUUCGGGGGAAAGAUUUAUCGGAUUUGGAUCGGCCCGCGUUAGAUUAGAUAGUUGGUGGGGUAACGGCCUACCAAGUCUACGAUCUAUAGCUGGUUUUAGAGGAUGAUCAGCAACACUGGGACCGAGACACGGCCCAGACUCCUACGGGAGGCAGCAGUGGGGAAUCUUGGACAAUGGGCGCAAGCCUGAUCCAGCCAUGCCGCGUGAGUGAUGAAGGCCCUAGGGUCGUAAAGCUCUUUCGCCAGGGAUGAUAAUGACAGUACCUGGUAAAGAAACCCCGGCUAACUCCGUGCCAGCAGCCGCGGUAAUACGGAGGGGGUUAGCGUUGUUCGGAAUUACUGGGCGUAAAGCGCGCGUAGGCGGAUUAGUAAGUCAGAGGUGAAAUCCCGGGGCUCAACCCCGGAACUGCCUUUGAUACUGCUAGUCUUGAGUUCGAGAGAGGUGAGUGGAAUUCCGAGUGUAGAGGUGAAAUUCGUAGAUAUUCGGAGGAACACCAGUGGCGAAGGCGGCUCACUGGCUCGAUACUGACGCUGAGGCGCGAAAGCGUGGGGAGCAAACAGGAUUAGAU
Molecule: ribosomal RNA, 671 nt
Filed under: uncultured Alphaproteobacteria bacterium
Lineage: Bacteria; Pseudomonadati; Pseudomonadota; Alphaproteobacteria
Description: bacterial SSU rRNA
Rfam family: Bacterial small subunit ribosomal RNA
Source: RNAcentral